RNAcentral lists this ribosomal RNA (253 nucleotides) under uncultured bacterium. RNAcentral describes it as "partial 16S ribosomal RNA". It matches the Rfam family "Bacterial small subunit ribosomal RNA", at positions 524 to 776 of the family's 1533-position model. The record is from RNAcentral.
UACGUAGGGGGCAAGCGUUGUCCGGAAUCAUUGGGCGUAAAGAGCGUGUAGGCGGCCCGGUAAGUCCGCUGUGAAAGUCCAGGGCUCAACCCUGGGAUGCCGGUGGAUACUGUCGGGCUCGAGUCCGGAAGAGGAGUGUGGAAUUCCUGGUGUAGCGGUGAAAUGCGCAGAUAUCAGGAGGAACACCGGUGGCGAAGGCGGGUCUCUGGGCCGAUACUGACGCUGAGGAGCGAAAGCGUGGGGAGCAAACAGG